AAAACCUUGAGCAGAAAAAAAAUGGAGAAACAUGAAGGUAGCUUAGAAGAAUCCAAAAGCAAUAAACGAAAGCUAGACAAAAGAAUUAGUUGAAGAGUCGUCAGAUUCUGAAGCGGAAUCAAAUUUUAGUCAUCAGCAUAGGAUGGAAGAUGAGAAGUUGCUGUCGGCAGUGUUGGGAGAGCAAAGGAGAAGGUAAGAAGACUGCAACUUAAGAGGAUGAAGGCAAAUCAGAAAUUGGUAGAUGACAGAAUUGUGAAUAGGACUCUUAGAUUCUGGGUCUAACUUAUGCAAUAAUUCUAUGAUCUGGGAAGCGCGUAGAGAUGAACAAGUGAGUUUGCAGUGAUUGUUGCGGUCGCGUCCAAUAGGGAGUCAAUUGUUUUGCAAACACAAAGGCUAUGGAUGGGAUAGAAAGUUUAUGGUUAAACUAUUCUCUUCAAAUUCACAUUAGUAUAAAAUAACGAAUAAAUGGCAUCACAAUGAUUAAUUUUCAAAUUAACUCCUUAAAUAGAAAUAACUUCAUUUACUGCUCCAUUCAUUUUAAAAUUCAAAAUCUCUUUCAUCUUCCUCUUUGGUCCACCAGUCUAUAUCACUACCAAUUGGCCAUGCAGUAUCUUGAGCUGUAGCAGAUUCUUCCACUGUAAU
This is a long non-coding RNA of Gossypium arboreum, 642 nucleotides long. RefSeq lists it as uncharacterized. The record is from RefSeq and is a predicted model, not a curated record. The transcript has 2 exons. NCBI's taxonomy places the organism in Eukaryota, Viridiplantae, Streptophyta, Magnoliopsida, Malvales, Malvaceae.